Molecule: unclassified non-coding RNA, 285 nt
Filed under: uncultured Basidiomycota
Lineage: Eukaryota; Fungi; Basidiomycota
Description: sequence contains ITS2
Rfam family: 5.8S ribosomal RNA (bases 1-52)
Source: RNAcentral
AACGCACCUUGCGCUCCUUGGUAUUCCGAGGAGCAUGCCUGUUUGAGUGUCAUUAAAUUAUCAACCUCUCGACUUUAUUGUCGGGAUGGCUUGGACUUGGAGUGUGCUGGCGCAAGUCAGCUCCUCUUAAAUGUAUUAGCAGAAUCUCUAUCCUGCAGUUGGUGUGAUAAUUAUCUACGCCUUCUAAGCUGUGGGAUGUUGAGCGACCGCUUCUAACCGUCCCUUGUGGACAAACCUUUUUUUAAUCUUGACCUCAAAUCAGGUAGGACUACCCGCUGAACUUAA